Molecule: long non-coding RNA, 219 nt
Filed under: Elaeis guineensis (African oil palm)
Lineage: Eukaryota; Viridiplantae; Streptophyta; Magnoliopsida; Arecales; Arecaceae
Description: long non-coding RNA (EGUI_LNC028553)
Source: RNAcentral
CCUUCAAUGAUAUUGUUGGUCCUGGUUAUAGGCCUUCUUGAUUAUCCAUUCAUCUUGCCUAGAUAAGUAUCGUCAUCAACCUGUUAUGUGUUCUGUUCCCAGAAGGGGAAUGGAUCAAUGGAGGACUUGUUCUUGAAAAUUAUGUAAGUCCAAAUACACGGCAAAUUUUGAACCCGAUAACUCUUAAAAAUAUAGAAUGGACAUGACCACAAGGCUACC